This 465-nucleotide ribosomal RNA is filed under the name uncultured bacterium. RNAcentral's name for it is "partial 16S ribosomal RNA". It matches the Rfam family "Bacterial small subunit ribosomal RNA", at positions 28 to 506 of the family's 1533-position model. The record is from RNAcentral.
GACGAACGCUGGCGGCGUGCUUAACACAUGCAAGUCGAGCGGUAAGGCCCUUUCUGUGGUACACGAGCGGCGAACGGGUGAGUAACACGUGAGCAACCUACCCUUCCCUUUGGGUUAACUGCCUUAAACGGAGGCUAAUACCGGCCAUGACUUCCUCCCGCCUGCGGGGUGGUGGAUAGACUUCGGGGGGUGGGGGAUGGGCUCGCGGGCUAUCUGCUUGUGGGGGGGGGGAUGGCCUACAAGGGCUUGGUCGGGUAUCCGGCCUGGGAGGGGGACGGGCAACACGGGGACGGAGACACGGCCCAGACUCUUACGGGGGGAAACGGUGGGAAAAAUUGGACAAUGGGCGAAGGCCUGAUCCAGCACCGCCGCGUGGGGGAGGACGGCCUUCGGGUUGAAAACCUCUUUCGCCUGCAACGAAGCGAGGGGGACGGUAGGAGGUAAAGAAGCACCGGCAACCUACGU